UCUUUUAAAACUAGUUUCUUAAGCAUAUAUUAUAAUAAAAUAUCAUUUUUAUUUUUAAUAUAAUUAAGAUUGUGAUUUUUUUUUGCCUUUUGGAUUCCCUAUCGUUUACCUGCGUCCGCAGAUGAAAGAAAAUGAAACCCGUUAAUUCCCACUACUUCCUCCAUCCUCCCCAGUCCCACACACUCUUCAUCUCUCCGAUUCCUAUAUUGCAUCUCUUUUGAAUUUUCUCUGCUAAGGAUCAGAGCAGAGAAAGUCAAUAAUCGGAUGCAUCAUUAGCGUGAUUUUUGAAAAGGAUGAACACAAAAUUUUAACUGGUAUUGAAAUGGAAUAGGAGGCGCCGACGAAAAAACAAAGCUAGGUUUGAAGGAUAUUUACAUAGAACAACCCUUCAUCUCUCCGAUUCCUCAACAUUCAGCAACCCUAAAUCCUUAUUUCAUUCUUCGCACUCUUGCAAGUGAUUGUUGGUGCUGAUAAAAGGAACCCUACAUUGGUAAUUCAUGAUCCCCUUGGUGUUUCUAGAGGCGGUGAGCAGUCACUGCAGGAGAAGCUAUUAAAAUAGAUCAAGGAAUCUCGAUCAGGUGCGUUUAAAGAAGCAAAUACAACAAUGCAACAAGCUCGUGGUGAGUACUAGUCUCGACGAUCCACUCUUGCAGCACCCAAGACCAAAAAAUACGACCAACACUUUUAAUAUAUAGGUGCAUACGGUUUUAAUUCUGCUCCAGUCUAGUUUAUUCUAUUAUCUGUAAGUCUGUAACUGGCUAUCUGGUAUUAUACCCUCUUAACAUCUUUCACACAGAAACAAGUAAAGGCCUCCUGUUAAUAGGCUGUUGUACUCCCGGAAAUAAUAGGACGAUCUUACUCAUCUUGCAUAAUAGGGAGUUAAAUCCUCGUUUACAACUUUGUUUGUGUCUGGUCUAGUGAGUGUAUCUAAAUAUAUACUUGGUAUAAUAUGAUAUAUGUUUCAGAAAAUCGAAUUUGUAAGCUUCCUCAAAGUGUAAUACAUGGGAUCAUGGAACGCUUACCGUUGAAAGAUGGUGCAAGGAUGGGGUUAGAGGUUUAA
Long non-coding RNA from Spinacia oleracea (spinach), 1060 nucleotides. RefSeq lists it as uncharacterized. The transcript has 2 exons. NCBI's taxonomy places the organism in Eukaryota, Viridiplantae, Streptophyta, Magnoliopsida, Caryophyllales, Amaranthaceae. The record is from RefSeq and is a predicted model, not a curated record.